UGAUAAAUACUUAUGCAGGCAUGGAA
This 26-nucleotide small RNA is filed under the name Bombyx mori (domestic silkworm). RNAcentral describes it as "ovarian small RNA-32324". The record is from RNAcentral. Lineage: Eukaryota; Metazoa; Arthropoda; Insecta; Lepidoptera; Bombycidae.